ACAUGCAAGUCGAGGGGAACGACAUCGAAAGCUUGCUUUUGAUGGGCGUCGACCGGCGCACGGGUGAGUAACGCGUAUCCAACCUGCCCACCACUUGGGGAUAACCUUGCGAAAGUAAGACUAAUACCCAAUGACGUCUCUAGAAGACAUCUGAAAGAGAUUAAAGAUUUAUCGGUGAUGGAUGGGGAUGCGUCUGAUUAGCUUGUUGGCGGGGUAACGGCCCGCCAAGGCUACGAUCAGUAGGGGUUCUGAGAGGAAGGUCCCCCACAUUGGAACUGAGACACGGUCCAAACUCCUACGGGAGGCAGCAGUGAGGAAUAUUGGUCAAUGGACGAGAGUCUGAACCAGCCAAGUAGCGUGCAGGAUGACGGCCCUAUGGGUUGUAAACUGCUUUUAUAAGGGAAUAAAGUGAGUCUCGUGAGACUUUUUGCAUGUACCUUAUGAAUAAGGACCGGCUAAUUCCGUGCCAGCAGCCGCGGUAAUACGGAAGGUCCGGGCGUUAUCCGGAUUUAUUGGGUUUAAAGGGAGCGUAGGCCGGAGAUUAAGCGUGUUGUGAAAUGUAGAUGCUCAACAUCUGCACUGCAGCGCGAACUGGUUUCCUUGAGUACGCACAAAGUGGGCGGAAUUCGUGGUGUAGCGGUGUAAUGCUUAGAUAUCACGAAGAACUCCGAUUGCGAAGGCAGCUCACUGGAGCGCAACUGACGCUGAAGCUCGAAAGUGCGGGUAUCGAACAGGAUUAGAUACCCUGGUAGUCCGCACGGUAAACGAUGGAUGCCCGCUGUUGGUCUGAAUAGGUCAGCGGCCAAGCGAAAGCAUUAAGCAUCCCACCUGGGGAGUACGCCGGCAACGGUGAAACUCAAAGGAAUUGACGGGGGCCCGCACAAGCGGAGGAACAUGUGGUUUAAUUCGAUGAUACGCGAGGAACCUUACCCGGGCUUGAA
Molecule: ribosomal RNA, 941 nt
Filed under: uncultured bacterium
Lineage: Bacteria
Description: bacterial SSU rRNA
Rfam family: Bacterial small subunit ribosomal RNA
Source: RNAcentral